Molecule: ribosomal RNA, 105 nt
Filed under: Brevundimonas sp.
Lineage: Bacteria; Pseudomonadati; Pseudomonadota; Alphaproteobacteria; Caulobacterales; Caulobacteraceae
Description: partial 16S ribosomal RNA
Rfam family: Bacterial small subunit ribosomal RNA
Source: RNAcentral
UCAACCUGAGAGUUUGAUCCUGGCUCAGAGCGAACGCUGGCGGCAGGCCUAACACAUGCAAGUCGAACGGACCCUUCGGGGUUAGUGGCGGACGGGUGAGUAACA